RNAcentral lists this ribosomal RNA (461 nucleotides) under Panulirus versicolor (painted spiny lobster). RNAcentral's name for it is "partial 28S ribosomal RNA". The record is from RNAcentral. Lineage: Eukaryota; Metazoa; Arthropoda; Malacostraca; Decapoda; Palinuridae.
GCAAGGAAAGCAAAAUACUCAGUACUACGUGCAACCGUCGAGAGUAAAGCGGGUGGAGGCUCGAAGGUCGAAGUGAGGGGAUUCAGGCCGUCGGUUGACACCCGUUGGAGGAUGUCACGGUGCGACCCUACUAAUAAUGUUGGGCGUCCCUUCUAGCGGUGUGUGUUGCCGACGGGCGUAGUUCGCCUCGUAGUAGGUCGCCGCGACCCGUCGCUGGGGAGGUCUAAGGACCCAAUGGAUUGGUAGCCCUCCGUCGCCCUGUGGUUGGUGGUUGCUUUUGCUUGUUCUGCAGGCUUAAGUGAAGUCACACCAAGAGCAUCUAAGGCGGAUCGGGUGAAACCUUGGGGUUUAUAAUGCUGGCAACCCUGCGACGGUCGAUGAGAUGAGCCCCCUACCUCUCCCUUGCGGAGAGGGUCUGGGGGACUCUCGCGGCGUGAACAGGUCGGCACUCUACCCGUCCC